Molecule: ribosomal RNA, 837 nt
Filed under: uncultured Gammaproteobacteria bacterium
Lineage: Bacteria; Pseudomonadati; Pseudomonadota; Gammaproteobacteria
Description: bacterial SSU rRNA
Rfam family: Bacterial small subunit ribosomal RNA
Source: RNAcentral
ACGCUGGCGGUAGGCUUAACACAUGCAAGUCGUGCGAGAAAGUAUCUUCGGAUAUGAGUAGAGCGGCGGACGGGUGAGUAACGCGUAGGAAUCUACCUAGUAGAAGGGGAUAGCCCGAGGAAACUCGGAUUAAUACCGUAUACCUCCUUCGGGAGAAAGAAGGCCUCUCUUUGAAGCUUUCGCUACUAGAUGAGCCUGCGUAAGAUUAGCUUGUUGGUGAGGUAAAGGCUCACCAAGGCUACGAUCUUUAGCGGGUCUGAGAGGACGAUCCGCCACAUUGGGACUGAGACACGGCCCAGACUCCUACGGGAGGCAGCAGUGGGGAAUAUUGGACAAUGGGCGAAAGCCUGAUCCAGCCAUACCGCGUGUGUGAAGAAGGCCCUAGGGUUGUAAAGCACUUUAAGUUGGGAAGAAAAGUUAUUGGUUAAUACCCAAUGACCGUGACAUUACCAUCAGAAUAAGGACCGGCUAAUUCCGUGCCAGCAGCCGCGGUAAUACGGAAGGUCCAAGCGUUAAUCGGAAUUACUGGGCGUAAAGCGCGCGUAGGUGGUUUAUUAAGUUGGGUGUGAAAUCCCCGGGCUCAACCUGGGAACUGCAUCCAAAACUGAUUCACUAGAGUACGAUAGAGGGAGGUAGAAUUCACAGUGUAGCGGUGGAAUGCGUAGAUAUUGUGAAGAAUACCAAUGGCGAAGGCAGCCUCCUGGAUCUGUACUGACACUGAGGUGCGAAAGCGUGGGUAGCGAACAGGAUUAGAUACCCUGGUAGUCCACGCCGUAAACGAUGUCAACUAUCUGUUGGAAAGCAUUGCUUUUCAGUGGAGCAGCUAACGUAAUAAGU